Molecule: ribosomal RNA, 230 nt
Filed under: uncultured bacterium
Lineage: Bacteria
Description: partial 16S ribosomal RNA
Rfam family: Bacterial small subunit ribosomal RNA
Source: RNAcentral
CGGGAGGGUGAGUAUGUCUGGAAACUGCCGAGUGGAGGGGGAUAACUACUGGAAACGGUAGCUAAUACCGCAUAACGUCGCAAGACCAAAGAGGGGGACCUUAGGGCCUCUUGCCAUCGGAUGUGCCCAGAUGGGAUUAGCUAGUAGGUGGGGUAAUGGCUCACCUAGGCGACGAUCCCUAGCUGGUCUGAGAGGAUGACCAGCCACACUGGAACUGAGACACGGUCCAG